CCUACGGGUGGCAGCAGUGAGGAAUAUUGGUCAAUGGCCGUAAGGCUGAACCAGCCAAGUCGCGUGAAGGAAGAAGGAACUAUGGUUUGUAAACUUCUUUUAUAGGGGAAUAAAGGUAUCCACGUGUGGCUAUUUGCAUGUACCCUAUGAAUAAGCAUCGGCUAACUCCGUGCCAGCAGCCGCGGUAAUACGGAGGAUGCGAGCGUUAUCCGGAUUUAUUGGGUUUAAAGGGUGCGUAGGGUGGUUUUUAAGUCAGCGGUGAAAGUUUGUGGCUCAACCAUAAAAUUGCCGUUGAAACUGGAGGACUUGAGUGUGUUUGAGGUAGGCGGAAUGCGUGGUGUAGCGGUGAAAUGCAUAGAUAUCACGCAGAACUCCGAUUGCGAAGGCAGCUUACUGAGCCAUAACUGACACUGAAGCACGAAAGCGUGGGGAUCAAACAGGAUUAGAUACCCGAGUAGUC
Molecule: ribosomal RNA, 460 nt
Filed under: uncultured bacterium
Lineage: Bacteria
Description: partial 16S ribosomal RNA
Rfam family: Bacterial small subunit ribosomal RNA
Source: RNAcentral